UAGUAGAGACAACAUUUCACCAUGUUGUACUUACUCCAGCUAGGCUGGAGUAAGUACAAUUUUUAAAUUCUGCUUCCCUUACUUCAUACUUCUAUAGGUAAAAGUCAUUCAUUUUUAAAUACAAUAAAUAUUUAUUAAGUACAUACAAUAUGCCAGGUACAGUGUGAAGCACUGAGGAUUCACUGGAGAACAAGACAGUGAUUCAGUGGGAUGAAUAAUUAAAUAGGUGGAAUACUUUAGAUAACUGUGUUAUGGUAAGGGAAAUACAGGAGGCUAGUAGCCCUUAGGAGGGGUACUUAUCCCAGAGUUGGGAAUCAAGGAUGUCUUCGUAGUAGAGGAAUUGAUGUCUAAAUUGAAUGGUAAAUAGGUAUUAGCAAGGCAGAGGUGUGUAUCAUUAUGUGUGUGUGUGUGUGUUUGGUUGGCUCGCUGAAAGGUUAGAUGGGGUAGGAUCAACAGGGGAGAACAAAGCAUUAUAGGGCUAUGUUUACUUUAAAAAUGGGAAAAUACAGUAUAGCUUAAGUCUAGGUUGUAGGAGGUGGUACUUACAGAUGAAGGUGAAAAGCUAAGCAGGGACUAGAUCUUAUAAGGCAUGAAGACAUGUUAAGGAGUUUGAGUUCUAUCUUAGGAGAACUGGGGACCUCUUAACCCUGUGCCUUAAAGCUAAAGACUACCUAUAUCAGAAUCACCUAGAGGUCUGGUUAAAAAUGCUCAUUUCUGGCUGGGCAUGGUGGCUCACGCCUGUAAUCC
This 747-nucleotide long non-coding RNA is filed under the name Homo sapiens (human). Its description in RNAcentral is "non-protein coding lnc-LARP4-4:1". Lineage: Eukaryota; Metazoa; Chordata; Mammalia; Primates; Hominidae. The record is from RNAcentral.